GUGGAUUAGUACCCUGGUAGUCCACGCCGUAAACGAUGGAUACUAGCUGUUCGGAGCAAUCUGAGUGGCUAAGCGAAAGUGAUAAGUAUCCCACCUGGGGAGUACGGGCGCAAGCCUGAAACUCAAAGGAAUUGACGGGGGCCCGCACAAGCGGUGGAGCAUGUGGUUUAAUUCGAUGAUACGCGAGGAACCUUACCAAGGCUUAAAUGGGAGACGACGUAUUUGGAAACAGAUAUUUCUUCGGACGUCUUUCAAGGUGCUGCACGCUGGUAGACAGCU
RNAcentral lists this ribosomal RNA (279 nucleotides) under uncultured bacterium. Its description in RNAcentral is "partial 16S ribosomal RNA". It matches the Rfam family "Bacterial small subunit ribosomal RNA", at positions 773 to 1060 of the family's 1533-position model. The record is from RNAcentral.